Molecule: transfer RNA, 68 nt
Filed under: Stylosomus ilicicola
Lineage: Eukaryota; Metazoa; Arthropoda; Insecta; Coleoptera; Chrysomelidae
Description: tRNA-Ser
Source: RNAcentral
GAGGCAGGAGUAUUCGGAGUCAAGCUUCUAACUUAGGCCCUAAGCAAUGGAAUUUUGUUUAUGCCUCU